This 1108-nucleotide long non-coding RNA is filed under the name Numida meleagris (helmeted guineafowl). RNAcentral's name for it is "lncRNA (ENSNMEG00000006855.1)". The record is from RNAcentral. Lineage: Eukaryota; Metazoa; Chordata; Aves; Galliformes; Numididae.
CCUGAUUCAGUCAUGCUGGAAACGAUGGCCACUCUCUUGCCUUGUCCUUUUGAUGACACAACAAACAAGGAGGUGAAAAGCCAGCACCAGUCAUAAGCCCAGGCUCACUGCCCAUCCUCAAGUGGCUGGCAGAGGUGAGACUGUUCCGCUCAGCAGCUGCCCUGUUUCAUCGUGCCAAGUGGAAACGGGUCCUACAGACUUUGUGCAGACAGAAGCUUCUGCUCUGUGGGAAGACACCAGCCCAUCUGUGUGUGAAGCAUGAAGAUUAUGGACAAAAGGCCAUUAAGAAUGGGUUUUGCAAUAGCGAUGUUUUGAGUUGGUGUUUGGACCAUCUCUCCUCCAUUCCCAGAGCUGGAUUCAUGAGCGUCAGACAAGUUGAUGGGAAGGACAUAAUUGGCGAAGAAAGUGUGGUUAAUCUCAUUGUUCUUUGGAUCUUUCUGUUCUUCCUUCCACUUUUCCUUCCAUUACUCAGAUGGGAAAAUAUUAGUGAUCUGAAGGCAGCUGCAGCCACAGGAGUGCGUAUCUUCUAUUUCAUCCCUACAGAGUACCCUAAUGAACCUCAGAUUUACCAGGGCUCCUUGCUGCCUUUACUCCAUUAAAAAGCUAUCAUCUGCCAACAGAAUGAGAGAGAACCUGCACUUCAGAGUUCUAAAGCAAAUGAUCAGCUGAUUCUGAUGGGCUAUAAGCACACAGAAGCAAAGUACCAGGAAGGCUGCGAGAGGUGGUGAGACACGAAACCAGCAGCCUGCCUUUGCUAGAGAGGAAGUCUGACUCCCAUAGAGCCAGAGGAGUCUUAUCCCAGUAAUCACAUACAGCCGUGUUUGCUGUUUGCUCAGCGUAGUGCACUAAAAACAUGCAAAAGCAAGCCCUGGAGCCUGCCGCAGAGAUAUCGAUGAGCAGACACUUGAAAAGGCUGGGUGCUUGUUAAUGUUUAACGAGUGAGUCCUCAUCUGACUUCAUGGCAUUGAGCUUUAUUUAUCUAAUCCCUAAAUUCACCAAGGGAAAAAGAACGCUCUCUAUUAGCCUAUGAUAAGUAAGUAAAGGGGAAGACCUGGAAGAGUCUUACUGAAUUUAUUCUGUUUAAUAAUAAACGGGCCUGUUCUACACA